GGUGUGCCUGACCAUGCUUGCAAGAUCGUGGUCAGGGUGAUGUAGAGUGAGACUUUCAGGGGACUGCAUUUCUCUUUCGGUUUCACUUUUGUACUUGCUGGACAGACUGCUGCCACGCCGGCUGGCUAGGUUGCUCUGGUCUGCGUAUGUCACACAGGUUGGCUUGGAACUAUGUAACCCAGGCUGCCUUAGCCUCCAAGAUGUGUUUAAAUUACAGGCAUGAACCACCACAACCCUCCACCUCUGUUUUCUCUCAGAAUAAACACAUCCAGAAAAACAAGCAAAUGGAAACAGUGAAAUUUAUCACUGCAAUGGGUACAACGGACACACAACUCCAAAGAGAACUGGACAAAGCAAGGACACAGAGAAGAAGGUGCUUCAGGACUUCAAAAAUGCUUGGAAAGAAGGCCUUCUCAGAAGCCAUACUUAUGCUCCACCUAAGAGAAAUAGGCCUGCAUUGACUAAUACAGUUAUAAAAUGUCUGUAUGAAUCACGUGGGGUCUGCUUUUUUCUUUUUUCUUUCCUUCCCUUCCCUCUGCCUUGUUCCAUUUUAUGACCACUGGCAACUGAUCCUGGGACAGCAGGUUGAAAUGCCUUUCAA
Molecule: long non-coding RNA, 601 nt
Filed under: Cricetulus griseus (Chinese hamster)
Lineage: Eukaryota; Metazoa; Chordata; Mammalia; Rodentia; Cricetidae
Description: lncRNA (ENSCGRG00015041467.1)
Source: RNAcentral